CUACGGGCCGCAGCAGUGAGGAAUUUUGCGCAAUGGGGGAAACCCUGACGCAGCAACGCCGCGUGAGCGAAGAAGGCCUUCGGGUCGUAAAGCUCUGUCAAGUGGGAAAAAAAUCUUUUGAUCAAUAGUCAAAGGACUUGAUGGUACCACUGGAGGAAGCACCGGCUAACUCCGUGCCAGCAGCCGCGGUAAUACGGAGGGUGCAAGCGUUGUUCGGAUUUACUGGGCGUAAAGAGCGUGUAGGCGGUUUAGCAAGUCAGAUGUGAAAGCCCUGGGCUCAACCCGGGAAGUGCAUUUGAAACUGCUUCACUAGAGUAUGGGAGAGGAGAGUGGAAUUCCUGGUGUAGAGGUGAAAUUCGUAGAUAUCAGGAGGAACACCCGUGGCGAAGGCGAUUCUCUGGACCAAUACUGACGCUGAGACGCGAAAGCGUGGGGAGCAAACAGGAUUAGAUACCCUUGUAGUC
This 464-nucleotide ribosomal RNA is filed under the name uncultured bacterium. RNAcentral's name for it is "partial 16S ribosomal RNA". It matches the Rfam family "Bacterial small subunit ribosomal RNA", at positions 339 to 795 of the family's 1533-position model. The record is from RNAcentral.